This 507-nucleotide ribosomal RNA is filed under the name uncultured fungus. Its description in RNAcentral is "eukaryotic LSU rRNA". The stretch from base 157 to 310 matches the Rfam family "5.8S ribosomal RNA". Lineage: Eukaryota; Fungi. The record is from RNAcentral.
UACAGAACGCCCGGGCUUCGGCCUGGUUAUUCAUAACCCUUUGUUGUCCGACUCUGUUGCCUCCGGGGCGACCCUGCCUUCGGGCGGGGGCUCCGGGUGGACACUUCAAACUCUUGCGUAACUUUGCAGUCUGAGUAAACUUAAUUAAUAAAUUAAAACUUUUAACAACGGAUCUCUUGGUUCUGGCAUCGAUGAAGAACGCAGCGAAAUGCGAUAAGUAAUGUGAAUUGCAGAAUUCAGUGAAUCAUCGAAUCUUUGAACGCACAUUGCGCCCCCUGGUAUUCCGGGGGGCAUGCCUGUUCGAGCGUCAUUUCACCACUCAAGCCUCGCUUGGUAUUGGGCAACGCGGUCCGCCGCGUGCCUCAAAUCGUCCGGCUGGGUCUUCUGUCCCCUAAGCGUUGUGGAAACUAUUCGCUAAAGGGUGUUCGGGAGGCUACGCCGUAAAACAACCCCAUUUCUAAGGUUGACCUCGGAUCAGGUAGGGAUACCCGCUGAACUUAAGCAUAU